RNAcentral lists this ribosomal RNA (660 nucleotides) under Goniopora gracilis. RNAcentral describes it as "eukaryotic LSU rRNA". It matches the Rfam family "Eukaryotic large subunit ribosomal RNA", at positions 114 to 649 of the family's 3401-position model. Lineage: Eukaryota; Metazoa; Cnidaria; Anthozoa; Scleractinia; Poritidae. The record is from RNAcentral.
UUUGAAAUCUCCGACGCUUGCGUCGGCGAGUUGUAGUUGCGAGAAGCACUUUCUAGGCGGAUCGGUGGUGCCUAAGUUGCUUGGAACAGUACGUCAUAGAGGGUGACAACCCCGUCUGUGGCACGACCGGCCGCUCACGAUGUGCUUUCGAAGAGUCGGGUUGUUUGGGAAUGCAGCCCAAAAAUGGUGGUAAACUCCAUCUAAAGCUAAAUAUUGACGUGAGACCGAUAGCGAACAAGUACCGUGAGGGAAAGAUGAAAAGAACUUUGAAAAGAGAGUUAAAAAGUACGUGAAACCGUCUGAAGGGAAACGAAUGGACUCAGCAAUGCGUCCUCCGAGAUUCAGCCGAUCGACGGUGGCGGCCCGGGGCUUGCGGAUCUGAAUGGACCGCGGUCUUGGGCCCGUUGCUCUCGAUCGUCGCACUUCUCUCGGACGCGAGUCAACGUCUGUUAGGACUGGGUCUCAAAGGUUCUGGGAAGGUGCGUCCGUCAAGGACUGUUAUAGCCCGGUUCUCUUUCGGCUCGGGCCUGACAGAGGCUGUUGCAGCGCAUGCCUCUUUUGGCUAGGGUCCCGUCCUUCCGGCUGGUCGUCGACGGCGGUGGACUGCUUGCAGUGCUCUGCUAACGCUGCCGGUCGUUGGAGCGGUGAUCUCGUACCAUG